This 431-nucleotide ribosomal RNA is filed under the name uncultured bacterium. RNAcentral's name for it is "partial 16S ribosomal RNA". It matches the Rfam family "Bacterial small subunit ribosomal RNA", at positions 29 to 507 of the family's 1533-position model. The record is from RNAcentral.
AACGAACGCUGGCGGCAGGCUUAACACAUGCAAGUCGAACGCCCCGCCAGGGGGGUGGCAGACGGGUGAGUAACGCGUGGGAACAUACCCUUUUCUACGGAAUAGCUCUGGGAGACUGGAAUUAAUACCGUAUACGCCCUACGGGGGAAAGAUUUAUCGGGGAAGGAUUGGCCCGCGUUGGAUUAGCUAGUUGGUGGGGUAAAGGCCUACCAAGGCGACGAUCCAUAGCUGGUCUGAGAGGAUGAUCAGCCACAUUGGGACUGAGACACGGCCCAAACUCCUACGGGAGGCAGCAGUGGGGAAUAUUGGACAAUGGGCGCAAGCCUGAUCCAGCCAUGCCGCGUGAGUGAUGAAGGCCUUAGGGUUGUAAAGCUCUUUCAACGAUGAAGAUAAUGACGGUAGUCGGAGAAGAAGCCACGGCUAACUUCGUG